RNAcentral lists this unclassified non-coding RNA (200 nucleotides) under soil metagenome. RNAcentral describes it as "partial internal transcribed spacer 2". The record is from RNAcentral.
UUAAAUUCAGGGGGUCUUCCCACUUCAUCUGAGGUCUAAUUCAAAGGUUAACAACGACAUGGACCAACGAAGCAAGCUUCAUCAGCCCACACUAUUGUCAAUUUGUUUCUUUGGGCUUCGCAACAUAGGAUUCGAGGAUUGUAUCCACAAUUAAGUGAAAGCAACUUGCCACGAAUACACACAGUCGUGAGGCUGAGAUU